Molecule: ribosomal RNA, 467 nt
Filed under: uncultured bacterium
Lineage: Bacteria
Description: partial 16S ribosomal RNA
Rfam family: Bacterial small subunit ribosomal RNA
Source: RNAcentral
ACGCACGCUGGCGGCGUGCUUCACCCAUGCCAGUCGCACGGAAAGGCCCUGCUUUUGUGGGGUGCUCGAGUGGCGAACGGGUGAGUAACACGUGAGUAACCUGCCCUUGACUUUGGGAUAACUUCAGGAAACUGGGGCUAAUACCGGAUAGGAGCUCCUGCUGCAUGGUGGGGGUUGGAAAGUUUCGGCGGUUGGGGAUGGACUCGCGGCUUAUCAGCUUGUUGGUGGGGUAGUGGCUUACCAAGGCUUUGACGGGUAGCCGGCCUGAGAGGAUGACCGGCCACAUUGGGACUGAGAUACGGCCCAGACUCCUACGGGAGGCAGCAGUGGGGAAUAUUGCACAAUGGGCGGAAGCCUGAUGCAGCAACGCCGCGUGCGGGAUGACGGCCUUCGGGUUGUAAACCGCUUUCGCCUGUGACGAAGCGUGAGUGACGGUAAUGGGUAAAGAAGCACCGGCUAACUACGUG